This 305-nucleotide ribosomal RNA is filed under the name uncultured bacterium. RNAcentral's name for it is "bacterial SSU rRNA". It matches the Rfam family "Bacterial small subunit ribosomal RNA", at positions 338 to 660 of the family's 1533-position model. The record is from RNAcentral.
CCUACGGGGGGCAGCAGUGGGGAAUAUUGCACAAUGGGGGGAACCCUGAUGCAGCGACGCCGCGUGGGUGAAGGAGUACUUCGGUACGUAAAGCCCUAUCAGCAGGAAAGAAAAUGACGGUACCUGACUAAGAAGCCCUGGCUAACUACGUGCCAGCAGCCGCGGUCAUACGUAGGGGGCAAGCGUUAUCCGGAUUUACUGGGUGUAAAGGGAGCGUAGACGGUCCUGCAAGCCAGAUGUGAAAGCCCGGGGCUCAACCCCGGGACUGCAUUUGGAACUGUAAGGCUAGAGUGUCGGAGAGGCAG